RNAcentral lists this ribosomal RNA (1347 nucleotides) under uncultured bacterium. Its description in RNAcentral is "partial 16S ribosomal RNA". It matches the Rfam family "Bacterial small subunit ribosomal RNA", at positions 44 to 1381 of the family's 1533-position model. The record is from RNAcentral.
AGGCUUAACACAUGCAAGUCGAGGGGCAGCGGGGGCGUAGCAAUAUGCCUGCCGGCGACCGGCGCACGGGUGAGUAACACGUAUGUAACCUGCCCUAUGCAGGGGGAUAACCCGGAGAAAUCCGGCCUAAUACCGCGUAACACCUUUGGGGAGCAUUCCCUUGGGGUUAAAGGAGAGAUCCGGCAUAGGAUGGACAUGCGUCGCAUUAGGUAGACGGCGGGGUAACGGCCCACCGUGCCGACGAUGCGUAGGGGUUCUGAGAGGAAGGCCCCCCACACUGGUACUGAGACACGGACCAGACUCCUACGGGAGGCAGCAGUGAGGAAUAUUGGUCAAUGGCCGAGAGGCUGAACCAGCCAAGUCGCGUGAGGGAAGAAUGUCCUAAGGAUUGUAAACCUCUUUUGUCGGGGAGCAAAAAGGCUCUGCGGAGUCGUAUUGAGAGUACCCGAAGAAAAAGCAUCGGCUAACUCCGUGCCAGCAGCCGCGGUAAUACGGAGGAUGCGAGCGUUAUCCGGAUUUAUUGGGUUUAAAGGGUGCGCAGGCGGCGUGUCAAGCAAGCGGUAAAAUAGCGGGGCUCAACCCCGUCGAGCCGUUUGAACUGGCGCGCUUGAGUUCAGGCGAGGUAGGCGGAAUUCGUGGUGUAGCGGUGAAAUGCAUAGAUAUCACGAAGAACUCCGAUUGCGAAGGCAGCUUACCAGUCUGCGACUGACGCUCAGGCACGAAAGUGUGGGUAUCGAACAGGAUUAGAUACCCUGGUAGUCCACACAGUAAACGAUGAGCGCUAGGUGUCCGGGUCGCAUGAGACUUGGGUGCCCGAGCGAAAGCGUUAAGCGCUCCACCUGGGGAGUACGCCGGCAACGGUGAAACUCAAAGGAAUUGACGGGGGCCCGCACAAGCGGAGGAACAUGUGGUUUAAUUUGAUGAUACGCGAGGAACCUUACCCGGGCUCAAACGACUCAGGAAUAUAUUGGAAACGAUGUAGCCAGCAAUGGUCUGAGUCGAGGUGCUGCAUGGUUGUCGUCAGCUCGUGCCGUGAGGUGUCGGCUUAAGUGCCAUAACGAGCGCAACCCCUACCGCCAGUUGCCAACGGGUAAAGCCGGGAACUCUGGCGGGACUGCCGGCGCAAGCUGCGAGGAAGGCGGGGAUGACGUCAAAUCAGCACGGCCCUUACGUCCGGGGCGACACACGUGUUACAAUGGCAGGUACAGCGGGAAGCCACCUGGUGACAGGGAGCGGAACCCGAAAGCCUGUCUCAGUUCGGAUUGGAGUCUGCAACUCGACUCCAUGAAGCUGGAUUCGCUAGUAAUCGCGCAUCAGCCAUGGCGCGGUGAAUACGUUCCCGGGCCU